GGCGAACGACAGGGGAGCGCGCGUGCCGAGGCACGGCGCGCUGAGAGUGCGGACGAGCCGCAGACCCUCCGAACCUGCACCGGUUAGCACCGGCGAAGGGAGUCAUCAUGGCCUCAGC
This 118-nucleotide non-coding RNA is filed under the name Mumia flava. RNAcentral describes it as "TPP sequence". It matches the Rfam family "TPP riboswitch aptamer (THI element)". Rfam says of the family: Vitamin B(1) in its active form thiamin pyrophosphate (TPP) is an essential coenzyme that is synthesised by coupling of pyrimidine and thiazole moieties in bacteria. The previously detected thiamin-regulatory element, thi box was extended, resulting in a new, highly conserved RNA secondary structure, the THI element, which is widely distributed in eubacteria and also occurs in some archaea. Analysis of operon structures identified a large number of new candidate thiamin-regulated genes, mostly transporters, in various prokaryotic organisms. Lineage: Bacteria; Bacillati; Actinomycetota; Actinomycetes; Propionibacteriales; Nocardioidaceae. The record is from Rfam by way of RNAcentral.